Triticum aestivum (bread wheat) is the source of this 135-nucleotide non-coding RNA. Lineage: Eukaryota; Viridiplantae; Streptophyta; Magnoliopsida; Poales; Poaceae. The record is from Rfam.
CAAAUACUCCCUCCGUCCGAAAAUACUUGUCAUCAAAAUUGAUAAAAAAAGAUGCAUCUAGACGUAUUUUAGUUCUAGAUACAUCUCUUUUUAUCCAUUUUGAUGAUAAAUAUUUUCGGACGGAGGGAGUAAAUG